This 730-nucleotide ribosomal RNA is filed under the name uncultured Flavobacteriales bacterium. RNAcentral describes it as "bacterial SSU rRNA". It matches the Rfam family "Bacterial small subunit ribosomal RNA", at positions 28 to 759 of the family's 1533-position model. Lineage: Bacteria; Pseudomonadati; Bacteroidota; Flavobacteriia; Flavobacteriales. The record is from RNAcentral.
GAUGAACGCUAGCGGCAGGCUUAACACACGCAAGUCGAGGGGUAUUAGUUUUCGGACUAAGAGACCGGCGCACGGGUGCGUAACGCGUAUGCAAUCUACCUUUUACAGAGGGAUAGCCCAGAGAAAUUUGGAUUAAUACCUCAUAGUAUAGCAGUUUCGCAUGAAACCACUAUUAAAGUCACAACGGUAAAAGAUGAGCAUGCGUCCCAUUAGCUAGUUGGUAAGGUAACGGCUUACCAAGGCUACGAUGGGUAGGGGUCCUGAGAGGGAGAUCCCCCACACUGGUACUGAGACACGGACCAGACUCCUACGGGAGGCAGCAGUGAGGAAUAUUGGACAAUGGGCGCAAGCCUGAUCCAGCCAUGCCGCGUGCAGGAUGACGGUCCUAUGGAUUGUAAACUGCUUUUGUACGAGAAGAAACACUCCUAUGUAUAGGAGCUUGACGGCAUCGUAAGAAUAAGGAUCGGCUAACUCCGUGCCAGCAGCCGCGGUAAUACGGAGGAUCCAAGCGUUAUCCGGAAUCAUUGGGUUUAAAGGGUCCGUAGGCGGUUUAGUAAGUCAGUGGUGAAAGCCCAUCGCUCAACGGUGGAACGGCCAUUGAUACUGCUGAACUUGAAUUAUUAGGAAGUAACUAGAAUAUGUAGUGUAGCGGUGAAAUGCUUAGAGAUUACAUGGAAUACCAAUUGCGAAGGCAGGUUACUACUAAUUGAUUGACGCUGAUGGACGAAAG